AAAAGGUAAAGUUAAAUACUUCAGAGAGAAAAAACAAGAGCUUUUGACGAAAAUUUUAAUUCGGUAAAAUCUAUUUUCUGAAAUAUUGUGCUGUUGUAUGGAAUAAUUGAUGAACUCGGUUAUGACUUACCUAACAACUGCUAGGUAGUUAAAAGAAACAAUAACAAUGAAAGCAGAGAUUAGAAUAAGUACCUGGAGACAGGAUGUAAUUGAUAGCUUAUGAUGAAUGCAUGUGGACUGAGUUUCCUCUGUUUUUCUCUCUGUAUUCUCUCCCUCUUUGCGUCUGAGUACUUCCCCUUGACCCUUACCUAUUCCCUUCUCUGUCAUAUUCCCUCUCUCUCAAUUCUUUCCUGGAUCAUUUGGAUACAAGUUUAGAGAGACAAUUUACUUUAUUUGAAGUGGAUGGGAAACUAGGAAAUUAUAGUUUGUGUUUUAUUUUCUUAAAGUACUUAUCAACUGUGGAUAUUUCUUUUCAAGUUCGAUUUAAUUUUUGAACUAUCAUUUAGGGCCACCACAGAACUAGCAAGAAAGCUAAAUUAAACAAGCACAAAAUCUCAUUUUGUUACUUUAGAGACUAAGUUAAACAAGCACCAAGUUUCAUUGUGUUUGAAGCUUUGUUUAAUUUAGAUUAGUUUAAAGCUUACAAUCUACGUAAGGUUUUUGGAUUUUUUUUUUUUGAAAUAAAAUGCACAAGUUACCAAAGGGGUACCGUUCAUAUACAAAAUAGUUAUAGAUCUAUCAAUUGGUCAAUGACCGCACCCAUAUCGUCAAUAUCUUUAAUAUCAUGACAUAACAAAAUAGAUCUAAAAGUAUGUAUCCAUCUAUCCUUAAUGUCACCAAAAUUAGUUUCUACCCCCUCAAAAGCUCUAACAUUUCUUUCUUUCCAAAUUAGCCAAAAAAUAGUAAGUAGAAUAAGAAAUAGAUGCCUCCCCUUUUCUUUACACUACCCCUCUCAAGCCCAAAGUUCAUUACUUACACUACCCGCUAUAACCUAAUCCACUCCAAUAAGCCUCAAAACAGCAAACCAAAUGUUGUAAGUGACAAGUCAGGCCAAUAACAAGUGGAAACGGGUCUCCUCAUCAGCUUUGCAUAAGAAACACCUGUUA
RNAcentral lists this long non-coding RNA (1106 nucleotides) under Carica papaya (papaya). Its description in RNAcentral is "long non-coding RNA (CPAP_LNC013446)". The record is from RNAcentral. Lineage: Eukaryota; Viridiplantae; Streptophyta; Magnoliopsida; Brassicales; Caricaceae.